Molecule: ribosomal RNA, 303 nt
Filed under: uncultured bacterium
Lineage: Bacteria
Description: partial 16S ribosomal RNA
Rfam family: Bacterial small subunit ribosomal RNA
Source: RNAcentral
AGCAGUCGCCGCGGGAAAACGAAGGGGGCUAGCGUUGUUCGGAAUUACUGGGCGUAAAGCGCACGUAGGCGGAUAUUUAAGUCAGGGGUGAAAUCCCGCAGCUCAACUGCGGAACUGCCUUUGAUACUGGGUAUCUUGAGUAUGGAAGAGGUUAGUGGAAUUGCGAGUGUAGAGGUGAAAUUCGUAGAUAUUCGCAGGAACACCAGUGGCGAAGGCGGCUAACUGGUCCAUAACUGACGCUGAGGUGCGAAAGCGUGGGGAGCAAACAGGAUUAGAUACCCCAGUAGUCCCUGUCUCUUAUAC